This 466-nucleotide ribosomal RNA is filed under the name uncultured bacterium. RNAcentral's name for it is "partial 16S ribosomal RNA". It matches the Rfam family "Bacterial small subunit ribosomal RNA", at positions 28 to 507 of the family's 1533-position model. The record is from RNAcentral.
GACGAACGCUGGCGGCGUGCCUAACACAUGCAAGUCGAACGAGCGAGAGAGAGCUUGCUUUCUUGAGCGAGUGGCGCACGGGUGAGUAAAACGUGAGGAACCUGCCUCAAAGAGGCGGAGAACACUUGGAAACGACUGCUAAUACCGCAUAAGCCCACGGUGCCGCAUGGCACAAAGGGAAAAGGAGCAAUCCGCUUUCAGUUGGCCUGGCGUCCGAUUCGCUAGUGGGAGUGGUAACGGUCCACCAAGGCGACGAUCGGUAGCCGGACUGAGAGACUGAGCCGACACUCUGGGAGUGAGACACGGCACAGACUCCUACGGGAGGCAGGAAAGGGGGAUAUUGCAACAUGGGGGAAGUCAUGAUGGUGCUACGCCGCGUGGAGGAAGAAGGUCUUCAGAAUGUAAACUGCUGUUGUCGGGGAAGAUAAUGACGGUACCCAACAAGGAAGAGACGGCUAACUACGUG